Panicum virgatum (switchgrass) is the source of this 2541-nucleotide RNA transcript. RefSeq lists it as uncharacterized. The record is from RefSeq and is a predicted model, not a curated record. Lineage: Eukaryota; Viridiplantae; Streptophyta; Magnoliopsida; Poales; Poaceae. The transcript is spliced from 16 exons.
AUGACUUCGAAGAUUCAGAAGUUCACAGCUCUGGGGGCAUUGAAAGCAUCCAAUUUGCUGCUUAUCAACAAGUUUUGAAAAAUGUAAUUUACUUUAUUUUCCCUCUUAUUCCUUUUUGGAUUUUCAAUUUUAGUUACACUUAGACUAAUUUUUUAUGUUCCUUUUUGUGGUUUCAGUACCAUGAAUUGAAGGUUUUGAAGAGGCAGCUCGCGAAAACUAUAUCUCUUGAGGCAAAGAAGCAAAAAUCUGCUAAAAGGCCCAAAGAAGUUUUUACCAGAUUUUCAGUCUCAAGCUUUUCAUCUAUUUUGGAUGCUCUUACACCUGAAAAUCGUGAAGUCAUUGAAAAUUCUGGGCUGGGAUCUCUUUUGCUUUUCUGAAAGUGCUAUGUGCCUAAUAAGUUUGUGAAGUGGGUAGCUGAGCUAGUGAAUUAUAGAUCAGCUGAUAUAGUUGUUGAUGGCAAGGUUAUCUCUCUUACAAAAGAAUCUGUGCAUUUAGUUCUUGGCCUUCCAAUGGGAGAUAAACAUUUCCCUUCCGAUCCUUCUGCGGGUAAAGCAAUUGUGCUGUCAAUGUUUGAGAAGCAGUCCUUGCCUUCAGUGAAGUUUUUUGCCAACAAAAUUCUAAAGCAUCAAACUCAGUCUGAUGAAGAAUUGAUCAUUUGUUUCAUUCUUGUUGCAAUGAACAGUUUUCUAUGUCCUAAUACUUCAAGUGUCCGUAGCUAUCGAUAUUUUGGUAUUUUUGAGGAUAUUAACAAUCUGAAUCAAUAUGAUUGGUGCGGUUAUAUUCCGGACUGGUUGCUUGAUUGUGUUAAAUCCUUUAAUCAUGGCAAAAGUAUAAGUUCAGGCUUUGGUGGUAGUCUUGGUGGUUGCUUGUACUACCUUGCUGUACUGUACCUAGAUUAUGUUGAUUUUGGAGUUCGCCAAGUCUUAGAUUCUAUUCCACGUAUUACUAUUUGGAAGGAUUCAAUGAUACAGACCUAUGCUCAGCUUGACAUGAAGUCUCCUGGUUCUUAUGGAUAUCACCCCUUACUUGAUGUUUCUCAUACCUUCUAUUCAAAGGAUUUAAGGUUUCUUUACAAUCCAAUGUGUGUCAAUAUAGAUUCUCAUUUUGCUGAGAAUUUGGACCAAUUUUCUGGUCGCAAGCUUCCUGAUUCUUUGAAGGCAAGCAUUUGCAAGCUUAUUCAGAACUACCUCUUCAACUCUUGGAGUGUCUGUUAAGCUGGAUGUCAAUCAUCAUCCCAAUGUUCAUGAAGUUGACGAAGAAAUGAAUUCUUCUGGGUCAAGUAGGAGACAGAAUCUUGGCAAUUCGGAUGCCCAGGAUGAUGUCCCUGGUUCUCAAUAUGAAGCUGAGAGAGCUACAAAUCCAUCUAGCCAUAUUCCCUGUGCAAAUCUUGCUCAGUUUUAUUCUUCACCUUCUGGAGCUUCUGAUGCUGCUAAUAACACUUGCAAACCCUCUACCCCCUUGCCUGUCCCCAAAUUACACCGUUCUCCUGUCAAUUCUACACCUUCAAAUGUUGAUAACGAUGUCAUUGCUAGGGUGAUGCAAAAUUUGACAAAGAACACACACUUUUGUCAUAAUGAAAUAAAAAAAUCAGAUGCUGGUCCAUCUAAAAUCAGACUUGAUAAGAGCGACGUGAUUAUGCUUGACAAGGAGAACUAUUAUGCUCCUGAUUCAAUUUCUCCAUCUCCUAAGCCAGGCAUGACCAGAUUUUUUUCUAAGCUGCUUCUGAUAAAGAUAAUGCAUCACCUCCAUUAUCUCAAAGGCGAGGAUGCAGUCAAUCUUUCAAGAGUCCGUUGCACCUUUUGGGCAUUAGGAGACUCUCUUAAACCGGGUGGAGUUGUGAAGUUUUUUGUGGUUUCUGUUUUUGCCUAUAGUCUGUUCUCAAAACCCAGUGGUCAUCCUGAUCAAUUGCUCAAGGAUGUAGAUGAAGCUGAUCAAGAUGUGUUGGCUCGAGCUUUUAGAAGAUCAUCAAAGGCUCGUCUUCUAAAUCAAUCCAAUAUGUUGUUUUAUCCUACUUUCUUCCAGGACCAUUGGUUUGUAUUUGUUGCAGACAUAAAGGAUCGUAUGUACGUUAUCCUUGAUUCAGUCUUUAAGAAAGAUGAUGAGUAUAAAGUUUUUGUCCGUGGAAGGCUGGUUAGUGUUUCUUUUUACCCUUUUUUCAUGAUUUUGCAAACACUCUGCCUAUCCAAAUUGUUAUUUAGAGUUACAUCAUAUUUGUGAUUACAGCAUAUUAUGGCAUGUCAGUUUUUAAUGUAUAGGCUGGUUAUCUAUUUUUGUUUGCAGAGAAAUUCUUUUCAAAUCCACUGGGAUAAAUAUGUGGGUCUGGAUAUGGGCUUUGAAAAUUAUGAGUUUGUUUACCCAGCAGUACCUGAACAGCCACCAGAAAAUACCACUGAUUCUGGAAUUUACUGUAUGAUGUUUCUUGAACACUAGAUGUCAACAAGAACUUCUCUUACAACUAUUUUCUCGCACACUGAUAUACCACAUAUUCGCAUUAAGAUUGCAAAUGAUUUGGUUUUCCAACCGAAGAAUUUAGGAAUGAAG